RNAcentral lists this long non-coding RNA (2385 nucleotides) under Macaca mulatta (Rhesus monkey). RNAcentral's name for it is "lncRNA (ENSMMUG00000051622.1)". Lineage: Eukaryota; Metazoa; Chordata; Mammalia; Primates; Cercopithecidae. The record is from RNAcentral.
UUUAACUGUUGUCUGCUAUGUCAAAUACACUAGAAAUUUUAUUAAUAUACAUAAAAAUGGUUGGAUAUAGCCUAUAAAUUUCUCAAACAUUGAUUUCAUACUAUACCUGUAGAGAGAAGGUAAUUAAUUCUGUAACUCAGAGACAACCACUGUCAUUUAUUAAGACUAUCCUACUUCCUAAAUAUUGUGAAGAUUGGUAAUGAGAGUCAAAAAUCUUGGGUUAGAAUCCAAAGCCUCAGAUCGUGCUUCUCAGUCAUUUCAAUUGUUUGAAUUUUACUCAACUGAAAUAAGGCUCCUCUCCAUGUUCAUCCCUUUCUUAAGUCUAAGGCCUUAAAACAAAGUUAUCCCCAUGCUGGGUAGAAUUGCUUUCACUCUAAAUCCCAGAAGUUACAUGAUCAGAGCUAAGUUAUAUGUCACUGAGAAGAGUUUAUCUAAAUGGAUUAAAAAGUAACCUGCACAUUACCAAGUUAACGUUAUUGAAUAUAUUAGUGUUUACAAUGCCUUUAUUUUUUUUUUUAGCCAUGAAGGGCAAACAGUGCCUUCAUUAAAUGUGUUCCUUUAAUGACAUCUUUAAUCUACAUAAUAAUUGUUUGCUUCCUUAAGUUUCUUCUCAUCAGCUGAAAGUUUAACUUUGCAAAUGGAAUAUUCUCAGAAGAGUGGUACUGUUAAUAGCGCUGAAUUCCUAACAGAAAGACACAAGAAGAUCUUGUGCAAAUUAACCAGGACCCAGGAGGAAGGCCAUGCUCAUUUGGCAAUGAAGACUUCAUCACCCGCAGUAGGUGAAGAACUAAAAGAUCUUGAUAUGUGAUUUAAGAGCAUUUGCUAAAACUUUCCAUGGUAAUGAGCUAGGAUUAAUACCUGUGCUAAAGAAUGCACUGGUAAGUGCAGUAUCUCAAGAUAAGUUUGGAAGUAAUAACAAUGAAGUAUAUUGAAUUGCAUAGCUGUUUCUAAGGGCCAGUGAUGAUGAGAGGAGAAAAAAAAUUAUGAGGGUGAUUAACGUAAAGCAGAUUGAGAAUGCCAGAGGGCUUCUUAGAAGCAUAUAAAAGAACAGGGAACAGAAAGAGACUGAGAAUCUGGACCAAACCUUAAUUAUGAGACUACAGAUCUCCAAGAAAUGUUGAAUUGUUAAUUCUGGCAGUUCUGCUAUACCAAGAUGAGGACUCCGAUUGAGAAAGGGUAGAUACCUAAGGUUUAGGAUGAAGCGUAUGGAUUGAUGCACUUGAAAAUGGUAAAAUCUCAGUUUUUCUCAAACCUUCUGAGAUUACAGAAGUUUCUCACUCCUCCCUAUUAAAGUGAAGAUGUACCUCUUGCUUUAAGAUGAAGCAAAGGCUUAUCUCUCACACAACACAGGUUUCAUUCAGGAUCUGGCUCUAACUCCUCUCUGGUCCAACAGAUUUAAACUACAGCCAAGUCAUUUGUAACUCAGCAGACAUAGUACUGGGCCUCCUAAAGGAAGGAAGGACAUUACAUAUGAAAACAUUGCAGAAGCUAGCCAGGCAGGGUUUGGGUUGGCUGUGUAUUCCAUGAAAUAGUACAUUGACCCCCUUGGCCAAUAAUCUCAUGUUAUUCAGACUGUAUGAGCUCAGAAGGUGUGGGUAAACACAACAUAGUUUCUGUGUUUACCUCAGUGAAAUUUUAGAUUUCCAGUGGCGUGAGGCAUGCUAAAAUAGUCCAUUAAAGUAACAUGCACGUUAUUGCAUUUUGCAUCUCUCAUCACUAAGAAGGAAGCACGACUUCUAGUAGGCCCAUCUGGGUUUCAGAAGUAGCAUAUUUCACAAUGUUCAUUGUGCUCUAUCCAUUUGCCAAGUUACCAAGAAGUCUGUCAGCUUUGAUAAGAACCAGAUAAGGAAAGCACUCUUCAGCAGAUCUGGGCCGUUGUGCAAUUAGCCUUAACAGGUUUAGGUAACUUACACAAUUAAACCUUUGUGUCAUCACAGAAAUGCCAAGAUAAGUAUUAUUUUACUUCUGUUACAUGUGAGGAAAUUGAGAUCCAGUGAUAACGAGAAGUGAGUUCAUGCCAUAUUAAUAUGUAUUAGAACUAGGAUGUAAACAUGUAGCCUUUUUAAUGGGAAAUACAAGAGUCAUGUCACUCUAUAUUGCUACGAGUGUGAAGUGUGAUUUUUACCAUGUUCAUAGAAAAAUAAAACUUCAUCUGGAACUCAAAAAUGUUGACUAAUGAGGCUGAUAUUACAGAAUAAAUUAGACCAUAGGUCAACUAACUAUGGCCCCGGGGACCAAAUUCACCUCUCUACCUAUUUUUGCAAAUAAAUUUUCUUUGGAACACAGCCACAUCUAUUUAUUUAUGUAUUGUGUAUGGCUGUGUUCAUACUACAAUGACAAGUUGAAUAGUUGUGAUCUAUAAUUAAUGACCUACAGAGUGUAAAC